This 337-nucleotide ribosomal RNA is filed under the name uncultured bacterium. Its description in RNAcentral is "bacterial SSU rRNA". It matches the Rfam family "Bacterial small subunit ribosomal RNA", at positions 527 to 866 of the family's 1533-position model. The record is from RNAcentral.
GGAGGGUGCAAGCGUUAUUCGGAAUUACUGGGCGUAAAGCGCACGUAGGCGGCCUUGUAAGUCAGGGGUGAAAUCCCACGGCUCAACCGUGGAACUGCCUUUGAAACUGCAGGGCUUGAAUCCUGGAGAGGGUGGCGGAAUUCCUGGUGUAGGAGUGAAAUCCGUAGAUAUCAGGAGGAACACCGGUGGCGAAGGCGGCCACCUGGACAGGCAUUGACGCUGAGGUGCGAAAGUGUGGGGAGCAAACAGGAUUAGAUACCCUGGUAGUCCACACCGUAAACGAUGGAUACUAGGUGUCGGGGACUUGAUCUUCGGUGCCGUASUAACGCGUUAAGUA